CUCAAGCUCCGUCAAGUUUUAAGGAGGCGCGUCGCUGCAUAGCAAUUUUUGACCUCACGGCUUGGUUUUUGCCCUGACAUGCACUGUCAACGGUGGGACCUUAUAUAGACAGGUCAGUGGGGUCAUCAGAGUCCAGGUUCAGGUCAGCGGGGUCAUCAGAGUCCAGGUUCAGGUCAGCGGGGUCAUCUACUCCUGGGCUUCCCCUUGUUUAAGCCGGGCCUUGUUGGAGCAGAGAGGUCUGAGAGAGGUUAUUAGCACGUUCAUCCUCCUCUUGCUCGAAGUCUACUACCACCCAGAGCAUGCCCACAGCCACAAUGGCUGCAGGUCCCAGGAAGCUGGUGUUGAGGUGAAUGCUGUGAGGAAGAGCCAUCGGUAUGAGGUAGAGCUGCCUGAACACAGUCUGGAGAUGAUCCUAUUGAGAUGAAGCCUAGAUGAGGAUGUAUAUCCACACCCGCCACCCCAGCCUGAAAUGGGACCACCGCUGUUGUGAGGAGAUUAGAAUAAAGCGAUAACAAUAUAUAUGACAUGAUAUCAUACCAUGUUCACAGGUGGCAAUUAGUACGAUUUUGAAAUCUCAAAACUUUAAGACAAACUAGUCGACUGAAUACUUUCUAGUAGGCCAUUUUAAUUCCACUAGCUUUACUUACUGCUAUUUACAGACACAGUUGAUUCCACGUGGUUGUUCUGAAUUCUAAAAAGAAAAAAAAGUAGACCUAUGUAUAAAAGAUUUUUCAAGACACCUUAAGGUUCCUUACCAUCACCAAAUUCCAAUCACUAAAACAAAUACACAGACAACUCACAAGGCUGUGAUGUUUAAUUUCCAAGGAAGAAAAUGUUUUUCAUAAUACACCUCUGUCUUUGUGCCAGAUUGGUCUUCUUUACAUUGUUGUGGGAUCUAGAAUUUUUUUGAUGUCACAGCAAAUAUAAGCUAAUUGAGUUACACAUUAAUUUAAUAUGUUAUUUUAACAUUUGAAAUUCAGUGAUGAGUAGUUGGACUGUUCAGUAGUUUAGUAGUUGAAACCAAUACCGUUAGAGGUUGAUGAGGAUGGCAAUUGUUAUGAUUCUGACCCUCAGAGGGGCCGGCAUCUUGAUUCUUCUCAUGCUGUUCCUCACUCUGGGUCUGCAACAUCACAAAAUGCAUUCAUAACUUUACUCAUCUCUGUUCUGAAUAAAACAUAAUGGAAGUGAAAACUAAGUCUCAAACAAGCUUGAGGGUCAAUUUACUCAACUCAAUAAACUUUGUAGCAGUUUUGGGUGUGUUGGCUACCUUGGCCAAAACUGAUUUCAGCUAUCUUCUCAUAGUGCCACGUUCUGACCUUAGUUCCUUUGUUUUGUCUUUGUUUCAGUAUGGUCAGGGCGUGAGUUGGGGUGGGCAGUCUAUGUUCUUUUUUCUAUAAUUUGGGAUUUCUGUGUUUGGCCUGGUAUGGUUCUCAAUCAGAGGCAGCUGUCAAUCGUUGUCCCUGAUUGAGGACCAUACUUAGGUAGCCUGGUUUCACCUUUGAGUUCUGGGUGAUUAUUUUCUGUUCUGUGUUUUGCUUCACCGUUCAGGACUGUUUGUUUUUGUCGUUUGAUUGUUUUUGUUCAAGUGUUCAGUAUUCGUAUUAAAUACAAUAUGGACUCUUA
This is a long non-coding RNA of Oncorhynchus masou masou (cherry salmon), 1623 nucleotides long. RefSeq lists it as uncharacterized. NCBI's taxonomy places the organism in Eukaryota, Metazoa, Chordata, Actinopteri, Salmoniformes, Salmonidae. The transcript has 3 exons. The record is from RefSeq and is a predicted model, not a curated record.